GCGGAGGAAAAGAAACCAACAGGGAUUGCCCUAGUAACGGCGAGUGAAGCGGCAACAGCUCAAAUUUGAAAUCUGGCGUCUUCGGCGUCCGAGUUGUAAUUUGCAGAGGGCGCUUUGGCAUUGGCAGCGGUCCAAGUUCCUUGGAACAGGACGUCACAGAGGGUGAGAAUCCCGUACGUGGUCGCUAGCCUUUACCGUGUAAAGCCCCUUCGACGAGUCGAGUUGUUUGGGAAUGCAGCUCUAAAUGGGAGGUAAAUUUCUUCUAAAGCUAAAUACUGGCCAGAGACCGAUAGCGCACAAGUAGAGUGAUCGAAAGAUGAAAAGCACUUUGGAAAGAGAGUUAAAAAGCACGUGAAAUUGUUGAAAGGGAAGCGCUUGCAGCCAGACUUGCCUGUAGUUGCUCAUCCGGGUUUCUACCCGGUGCACUCUUCUACGGGCAGGCCAGCAUCAGUUUGGGCGGUUGGAUAAAGGUCUCUGUCAUGUACCUCUCUUCGGGGAGAACUUAUAGGGGAGACGACAUGCAACCAGCCUGGACUGAGGUCCGCGCAUCUGCUAGGAUGCUGGCGUAAUGGCUGUAAGCGGCCCGUCUUGAAACACGGACCAAGGAGUCUAACAUCUAUGCGAGUGUUUGGGUGUCAAGCCCGAGCGCGUAAUGAAAGUGAACGGAGGUGGGAACCCUUCGGGGUGCACCAUCGACCGAUCCUGAUGUCUUCGGAUGGAUUUGAGUAAGAGCAUAGCUGUUGGGACCCGAAAGAUGGUGAACUAUGCUUGAAUAGGGUGAAGCCAGAGGAAACUCUGGUGGAGGCUCGCAGCGGUUCUGACGUGCAAAUCGAU
This 834-nucleotide small RNA is filed under the name Didymella heteroderae. Its description in RNAcentral is "eukaryotic LSU rRNA". It matches the Rfam family "Eukaryotic large subunit ribosomal RNA", at positions 50 to 902 of the family's 3401-position model. Lineage: Eukaryota; Fungi; Ascomycota; Dothideomycetes; Pleosporales; Didymellaceae. The record is from RNAcentral.